Long non-coding RNA from Bombina bombina (fire-bellied toad), 166 nucleotides. RefSeq lists it as uncharacterized. The transcript is spliced from 3 exons. The record is from RefSeq and is a predicted model, not a curated record. NCBI's taxonomy places the organism in Eukaryota, Metazoa, Chordata, Amphibia, Anura, Bombinatoridae.
CAGGUCUUGGCCAAACAACAGCUGAGGUACGAAGGGCUCUGGAACAACCUUCGACCUCUUCAAUCUCCUCCACAGACACCGUCACAGCGCUACCCCUUCAUUGGCCGCAAUCUUUUGCCGAAACCGGAAACUGUAACGUCAACAGGAGACGAGCCCCCACUGUGGC